GACGAACGCUGGCGGCGUGCUUAACACAUGCAAGUCGAACGCUGAAGCUCAGCUUUUGUUGGGUGGAUGAGUGGCGAACGGGUGAGUAACACGUGAGUAACCUGCCUCCUUCUUUGGGAUAACGCCCGGAAACGGGUGCUAAUACUGGAUAUUCACUGGUCUUCGCAUGGGGGUUGGUGGAAAGGGUUUUUCUGGUGGGGGAUGGGCUCGCGGCCUAUCAGCUUGUUGGUGGGGUGAUGGCCUACCAAGACUUUGACGGGUAGCCGGCCUGAGAGGGUGACCGGUCACAUUGGGACGGAGAUACGGCCCAGACUCCUACGGGAGGCAGCAGUGGGGAAUAUUGCACAAUGGGCGCAAGCCUGAUGCAGCGACGCCGCGUGAGGGAUGGAGGCCGUCGGGUUGUGAACCUCUUUCGCUCAUGGUCAAGCCGCAACAAUGGUUGUGGUGAGGGUAGUGGGUAAAGAAGCGCCGGCUAACUACGUG
RNAcentral lists this ribosomal RNA (483 nucleotides) under uncultured bacterium. RNAcentral's name for it is "partial 16S ribosomal RNA". It matches the Rfam family "Bacterial small subunit ribosomal RNA", at positions 28 to 507 of the family's 1533-position model. The record is from RNAcentral.